RNAcentral lists this unclassified non-coding RNA (323 nucleotides) under soil metagenome. RNAcentral's name for it is "partial contains 5.8S ribosomal RNA, internal transcribed spacer 2, and large subunit ribosomal RNA". The stretch from base 1 to 120 matches the Rfam family "5.8S ribosomal RNA", at positions 35 to 154 of the family's 154-position model. The record is from RNAcentral.
GAUGAAGAACGCAGCGAAAUGCGAUAAGUAGUGUGAAUUGCAGAAUUCAGUGAAUCAUCGAAUCUUUGAACGCACAUUGCGCCCCUUGGUAUUCCAUGGGGCAUGCCUGUUCGAGCGUCAUUUGUACCUUCAAGCUUUGCUUGGUGUUGGGUGUUUGUCCCGAGGGACUCGCCUUAAAGUAAUUGGCAGCCAGUGUUUGGUUUUGAAGCGCAGCACAAGUCGCGAUUCAAGGCUACACGCCCGCUUCCACAAGCCUUUUUCACUUUUGACCUCGGAUCAGGUAGGGAUACCCGCUGAACUUAAGCAUAUCAAUAAGCGGAGGA